Molecule: ribosomal RNA, 618 nt
Filed under: Gonocarpus eremophilus
Lineage: Eukaryota; Viridiplantae; Streptophyta; Magnoliopsida; Saxifragales; Haloragaceae
Description: eukaryotic LSU rRNA
Rfam family: 5.8S ribosomal RNA (bases 240-395)
Source: RNAcentral
CCCGUGAACAAAAACUAACCAAGGGGAGGAGGGUAGGCGCACUCGUGCGCUGCCACCCUUUGCCCCUUAGCCGUGCAGUGCCUCUCGUCACCCCGAAUCCAUUCGGGACACGACGUGAGGUGCUAUUACGGUGAUUAAAACGAACCCCGGCGCGGUAUGCGCCAAGGAAAUCAAAACGAACUUAGCACACCAUAAGCUGACUUGUGCGGCUACGGUGAUGCAAACUUCGAUACCUAAACGACUCUCGGCAACGGAUAUCUCGGCUCUCGCAUCGAUGAAGAACGUAGCGAAAUGCGAUACUUGGUGUGAAUUGCAGAAUCCCGUGAACCAUCGAGUCUUUGAACGCAAGUUGCGCCCGAAGCCAUUCGGCCAAGGGCACGCCUGCCUGGGCGUCACGUAUCGCGUUGCUCCCACAUCACUUUCCUCAAUGCUUGUGAUGUUGGAAGCGGACAAUGGCCUCCCGUGCUCUUGUGCGGCUGGCCUAAAUCCAAGCCUCGGGGUGACGAAGGGUCACGACAAGCGGUGGUUGAUAAUCUCUCGGCCUUUGUCGGUCUGUCUGUCCCCUAUUGUGCUAAGAAUCCCCAACGUGUCAUUUCAAAUGGCUCUUGCAUCGCGACC